RNAcentral lists this ribosomal RNA (433 nucleotides) under Capnocytophaga granulosa. RNAcentral's name for it is "bacterial SSU rRNA". It matches the Rfam family "Bacterial small subunit ribosomal RNA", at positions 28 to 465 of the family's 1533-position model. The record is from RNAcentral. Lineage: Bacteria; Pseudomonadati; Bacteroidota; Flavobacteriia; Flavobacteriales; Flavobacteriaceae.
GACGAACGCUAGCGGCAGGCCUAACACAUGCAAGUCGAGGGAGAAGCCCUUCGGGGCAGAAACCGGCGCACGGGUGCGUAACGCGUAUGCAACCUACCUUUCACAGGGGGAUAGCCCGAAGAAAUUUGGAUUAAUACCCCAUAAUAUUAUUGGAUGGCAUCAUUUGAUAAUUAAAAUUACGAUGGUGAAAGAUGGGCUGCGUCCUAUUAGCUAGUUGGAGUGGUAACGGCACCCCAAGGCUACGAUAGGUAGGGGUCCUGAGAGGGAGAUCCCCCACACUGGUACUGAGACAGGGACCAGACUCCUACGGGAGGCAGCAGUGAGGAAUAUUGGUCAAUGGUCGGAAGACUGAACCAGCCAUGCCGCGUGCAGGAAGAAUGCCUUAUGGGUUGUAAACUGCUUUUAUAUGGGAAGAAUAAGGCGUACGUGUACG